UUUGUCAACAAAGUAACUUCAAAAGUUACUGCUCUUCGUUCCUCAUCCCUGAGCUCUCAAUCUCUCUCUUGCUUAUGCUUCUCCGACAUAGCCAAAUCCUCUCCGACGAAGCCGUUACCUCUCCGACAACCACCAUCAAGCCGUUUCCUCUCUUCUCAGUUCAAAAACGAAGUUUUCUUCUCCUUCUCUGUUCAAAUACGAAAGUCGCCUUCAAUAUAUGGCUGGAGGUUUAUCUGAACGAGGAAGGGGCCGUGGACGAGGAAGGGGUCGUGGACGAGGGAGGGUAGAACCACAACUAAGUGCAAGAAAGUUAAACUUCGAUAACACCGACUUUGAUGAGGAGCCUAGUGGAAGUGAUUCUGAAUAUACCGGUCAAAGUGAUGAACAG
Long non-coding RNA from Spinacia oleracea (spinach), 388 nucleotides. RefSeq lists it as uncharacterized. Lineage: Eukaryota; Viridiplantae; Streptophyta; Magnoliopsida; Caryophyllales; Amaranthaceae. The transcript is spliced from 3 exons. The record is from RefSeq and is a predicted model, not a curated record.